This is a long non-coding RNA of Numida meleagris (helmeted guineafowl), 11731 nucleotides long. RefSeq lists it as uncharacterized. The transcript has 3 exons. The record is from RefSeq and is a predicted model, not a curated record. Lineage: Eukaryota; Metazoa; Chordata; Aves; Galliformes; Numididae.
GAAAAAGAGAAGAAGAGGCUAAACUGAUGAAGAACAAGAGGCUCAACCCAAAAGAAACAACUUCAAAGCAAAGAGAACACUGAGAGCAAGGAAGUAGAAAGCGGUAAGAAAAAGACAGCCAGUCUGUAAGUCAGCCUAAUGGACUGGAAGAACCUCUGGGACAACUCCAUUGGAUCAAGGUCUAGAAUAGGGAAACAGAUCUGGAUGUGCACUGCCCCUUCCUCUUGGGAGAAGCCCAAGUCCGUCCCAAAGUCAGAUCCGAGCCAUGGCAGGACAUGAAGCUUUCUGUCCUGCCCUGUUUGCACGGAGAGCCACAGAUUGCUCACUGCAGGUGACACAGCACUCAGCACCGGCAGAAUUCUGCAUCGCCGCCUGUGCAAUCAAGUACAAUGCUGAAGGCACUGAUGAGUAUGGGAAAACAACAUCACCAUUACGGCUAGGAAGGGGACAAACUAAAAGAGCCAAGAAAGGCCAGGGCAAAAAGGCAGAACAAAAGCAAGGAGAACACCCAGAAACAAAGGCAACAACAAGGACAAAACCUACAAAAACACCCAGAGGUAUUGUAGCAAUCAGAAGGACCAACGUGAUGGAAAAGGUGUUACAAAGAGGUGCAAGAAGUGGCACAAUGGCAAGGUGCUACAAGGGAAGGGAAGCAGAUCGCUCAUCCGUAUCAGAAGAUUCUGGGUUCACAGGGAAAGGUUUCCACCAAGGAGGGAUCUCCAGAAAGAGAUCCUUCCUCAGUGGCAGUCAUCCCUUCAGUGAGGCCUAAGAGGGGUGGAGCCUGGCCACCCUACAAGUGAAUUGCCUUCACCUGAAGUGUAAUGACAUAAAGUGGCUACACGGUGGCAGCAGAGACCGUGGAAUAAAAUGAAGUGUAAUAACAAGUUUGACCACACGGCGGCAGCAGACAGCGCGGAAAGAACGGAACUGCUGAGACAUAGGGGGAAUGUUUCUGAUACAGCCACAACUCCACACCAUUUUCCCGUUGACUUCUGGGACCAUGACUACUUAGCUCAUUGUGAUUAGGACUGAGGAUGCGAUGAUUGAACAGAAUCAAGUCCAAGUGUGGGGCAGGACCACCACUGUGUGGGUCCAGCUGUGCGGCUGCAAGUGUGGGGCUAGACAUGUGGGUCAGGUGUAUCUGAGUGAGGAUCCAAAUGUGGGGCUCGAUGUGUGGGGCUGCAGGACUUCAGUGUGGGUCCGUGUUUCGGUCAGGAUGUGCAGCUGAAGAACCCAAGUGUAGGUACAGGUGUGGGGCUGAGUGUGUCAGGCCGGAUGUGGGGCUUGAGGACUUGGGGGGGGCUCAAAGAGUGGGUCCUGGUGUGGGGCUUGUUGUGAAGGGCUGGAUGAGCUGGGUGUGGGGCUCCAAGUGUGGGUGCAAGUGUGGAGCUGGAUGUGUAGGACUAGACUUGGGGAACCCUUGGAACUCAAGGCUCAUGAGGAGGGAAAUAGGCAGGAAAACUCUUUUAGAUGUUACCUGUUUGAAGGCAUAAACCAGCCCCAUACUUCAAAAAUGUUAAAAGAAAAGGCUUAGAGUAAUCUCCUACCACAUUAUGCAUAUUUGGUCUAGAGAGCAGUCGGCAGAGCUCUGUAUCAUAAAGAACUUUGGUCAUCAGCACCAAGCUCCUAAGGUCCAACCAAACCAACUAAAUGUGCAUACGUUCAGACAGAAUCCUUAAGUAGGACAUUCAGGAAAAGCAUCAAAGAAAGCAUCUGAUUCACAUCCUUCUCAUUUGUUUUUGAAAAUCCAGAGGCCUUUGUGUUUGCUCCAUCUCUGGCCUGUGAAGCCUGAGCCUGCCAUUUGUUGGAAGUUCUUUUAACCAGACAUCAGAGAAUUUAGAUUGGACUGCAUUUUAGGAAGGCGUUGCGUGAGAUCAAAAAUAGUGCCUUGCCGAGCGAGAAAGUACAGACUAAAUAAUGGCUUAAUUCCUAAUGAACAAAGUUAAUUCCUCCUUUCCAGAUCACUUAAAGGGCUAACGUGAAACAAGACAAGCAGAAUGUGGGGAUGGUUUAGUGCUAUCUGCAAGUUAGCAUAGGACAUCACACAAGAACUGCUUCAAUCCUAGAAACUGUCCAAACCAGUGCAACAGCAGGGCUGUGUCCUAGGCUACAACACACUCAAUCUCUUCCCACAAUGCUGUUUGGAAAAGCCAACACAACAGAUAUUCCUCUCCUGGACUGGAUGUGCAGUUACACAGCAUGAAGACAACCGAACUCAGGAACUUUGUUGAUUUGCUUUGAGGCAUCUGAAAAAUCAGCUUGCCCAAGUAUACCAGGUUAGUCUAAAACAAGAAGAAAAACUGCUUGGUGUGUCCUGAAGAUGCUUGAAAAUGCUUUUCUUUCUAAAGUGGCCAUAAACCCUCAAUUCCUCUUUCCUAUUUUGCUGCCCCACAACCUCUACGCACUCCAAGAACGAUGGCACUUUUUGCCGCCAGCAUCUGCCCUCCAAGAGCUGGAGCCUCCUUCGGAACCGAGUUUUACUGCUACAGUUGAGAUUUCACACUGGGCCAAGCCUAGCACCGUGUUAUUUGGGGCCAAAUGAAAAGCUGACCAGAACUUCAGCUUGAAUCAAAAAAGGCACCGCUGCACUGGCAACACUGAUUCUACGGGAGUGGUGGCUUAAAUAAAAUUUGCAUUUUUGGUGUAUGUUUAUCUGGCAAGUGAGUAGUUGUGAACUGAUGCUCCUUACAGCUGUGUGGGGGCCCACUCAGGACAACUUAGAGCCUUCCUUCUGCAUCCUAAAGGCCUCUCGGGGCAACCAGGCUACUCUAGGGAAGUUUCUAGGGAGGGAAUCACCACCCAACCAAUCAGGUUGAUUCAAUGCCAGCUGGUUCUCACCAAGGGAAUCACCUUCUAUGCAGUCAGGUCCCACCCUAGAAAUGCACUCUUAUGCUCCAGAGUCACAUAGAGCCCUUCCUAGAGCCCUAGAGGUCUCUAUGGGGCCCACAGUGCAAUUUAGGGUACCCCAGGACACUCUCAUGGGCCAGGCAGGAGGCCCUCUGUGGUGCCCUAGAAGUCUCCCAAGGCCACACAGUAAGCUCUAGGGCAAGCUAGACAUGUCCCAGAUUCAGAAGCAUUUAUCUUCCUACUAAAGCCGUCCUUUGGAUAUUGGAAAAGUUUUGCACACUAUUGAUUGCUGUCUGUUUAGCUCUCACUCGUAUUCCCUGAGAUCAUUAGGUGUCCCUACCGAAACAGGGUUGUCAAAUCCAGUUUUUCUAAGAGUUAUUUCGCUGUAGCUCCUUCCAUCUUGCCCGUCAGACACACGAGCACAUACAAGUGUACUUUGUUGCACUGUCAUGGGUUAUUUCCCACGGAGGCUUUCCUGCAUUGCAAGUUUUCUUAGCUAGUCUCCUCUGAAAAGAGGCAGGGCUUGUGACUAUGUAUAACCCUUAUUUGGAGCCAGUUGUUGCCUUUCUUAGGAAAAUUGUAACAUGAUCAAAGGCUGAGCCUACCCUUUGAAACAUAGCAUGACUAAUAAGGUGAUCUGCAGAGAAGAGAUUCAGUGACAGUUACUUGGAUUGUAAGAAGACACCUGAUGACAGCUGAUUAUGAAAUGUAAAACUCCCUUUCGAUCUUGACCCUUGCCCAUCAAGCUUUCCAUCUCUCAGCUCUCACUUUACACAGCUGGAAUGCUCUUAUGGAUUGAGGACUGACUCCAUGCUCUCAUCACAGCAAAGCCUAAGCAGUCCAGGAGCAGUUCUACAUCCACAACAUCUGUAUCACACAACAAGGAUAUACUCCGCCGGAUGAAGAAGCAGUCCAUAAUGCCUAAAAGGGAUGUGACACCAUAGCCCACAGGAUAUUUCUUCUGUUACAGGCUCCUUAAAGAAAAGAAACCUGAGAGAUGAUUUUUCUCAAGAUAUUUUCCAUAAGUAAAUAUCACAGCCUGACUGUCUGCACUCUGGUCUGAUGUUUUAAAUAUCUAGUUCCUAGAGUUCAGUUUCCUUCUCAUUUAGCUAAUCACUAUGUAAUAGUUGUUGCCUCCUUUUGUUAGCCAAUACUACUAAGAGCUUGAUAUCCUGGAGUUAAAAUGUCACCCACUAAAAGCCAAAAAACAAACUGAUAAUUGAGCUUUCUUUCCUGAGAAACUGACUGCUUUCUCUUUUUUAAACUGUCUGGUUUGGUUGUCAGUCUUGCAUGUAGCUCAAUUAUCGUAGCCAAAAUUGCAGAUCUUGCUUCUCUCUGGUUUCCUCUGAUCACUUUGUCACCUAAAGGUCAUACUCAUUUUGCUGUGUUAUAUUCUCAAAUGCUCUGCUGUCAAGUAUUUGCAUUCCACUCAGUUCUCUAGAACUAUAUGCUAUACAUCUCACCAUACUGAGUGCCUUUCAGUGGUACAUCAAGUGAAGUGGCUAACAUCUGUCACUUCUUCCUUUUACACUCAUAACCUUCCCUACAGGAGAAGUGUGUGCCGUGGUAGUCCUUAGUUUAGUGGAAUGUUUUGGCUUUGAAUGUUUUCUUGGGAAGAUUUGGAGUUAUUUAUUUUGGUGUGUUUGGUGUUUGCUUUCCCUACACUUCUAGGUUAAGGGAGGCACAGUCAAAAGAAUUGGACUUGUUCUUGGAUGGGCAAAAUAAAAGAUGAGUGAUGGUCCUGGAGCCUGAUCAAGAGCAUUAGUAAUGCUCAUUUCAUAAAUUUGGAUCAGCCUGUAAUAAAGGCUGAUUUUCAAAGAAAGAAGAUGACCUGCUAGUCAUCUUGAUCAGUGAUUUGCUGCACUUAGAAAACUUAAUGCCUCAGGUGUGGCAAACACUGAGUUCUGUACAUCCUCUGGAUUGGACUAGUAUAUUAAAAUUAAAGUCAGUUUUUGAAAGAAUGGAUUAAGAGUGCUGAAGAGAGACAGAGAGGUAUAUUUGACACAUGGGAAAAGCAGCAAUUGUUUCCAAAAUCUCAAUCUGUAUCAAGGCAUACAUUCAAAAUACUGAUGCCUAAUGUUCAGUCUAAUAACUGCCCCCCCACACACACACACCUCCAGAUUAGAAUAACAAAGACAAGCAAAAUGAAUCUUAAAAUAUACUUAAUAUGCAAUGGUAUUUUGAUUAGGUUGAAGAGCUUUUGAUAUGGAAGAACAUACUGAGUAUCUGCGAGAAAAUCUUUGCACGGCCUUCUCAAUGUAGUUGCAAGUGCAAGUGUUCAUAUUUUAGUCUUAGGUGCACCAUUUAAAAGUCUAGCUCUCCCUAGGUUUCUCUGUCUUGGUGGAGUGAGAGGUUCCUCCAGAGAGCUGCUCAGAGUACCUAGUUUUACCCCAAAUCUAGCCAUCUGAGAUUCCUUUGACUAUAAUUCACAGACUUCUGGAUAUCUCUUUAUCUUAUUCUGUUAUUGAAGUUACUCCUUCUCCGUUCAUGUUUCUUAUGGGUUCUCUGCGCUUAUGUGUUUAGAAAGCAUCUCAUUCAGCCAUCUGCUCAAGGCAGUAUCCCAUGACUUGGAAAGUCAUUCAUGCUUACUGUUGAUAGAUUUUGUUUCUUUUUUUCCACUGAUGAGGGGGACAUUAGAUAUUGAUUCCUCUUAGAGAAUGUGGAUGGAGCAGAUUCAGAAUUCUAGAAAAACAUUUUGGAGUUGAUUUAUUAAGAUUCUACUGAAAAUGUUAAAGGAAACCUAAAUUUCUAGGAAUACACUGUAGUUGUACAAAGAUACAAAGAGACAGUAACUUCUAACAGGGAAAGGAUAAAGCAGUGGAUAAGCAGGAACAACAGGUUCAGUGGGAAUUUGCAUUAUGUGAUCAAGGUCGCAUGGGACACCUAUAGCAGAAUCAGAACAAGAAUCAAAACUAUCUACUUUUUCUGCAAUGUCUUUAUCCUGAGACAUUUAGCCAUUCCUUUUAGUAUUCUAGUGAGCUGCUAUGCAGCUCAGAUAUUUGGGAUAAGAGACUUUUGUGGUUAUUAUAUUUAUCAAAAUUUCUUUGCUUAGGUGCACGCUUUCAAAACGAACCCUUCCUAGUCACUGGCCUUCUGAUCUCAAUGUUUGUCACUUACCAUUGCUGAAAACAUACACGGUGAUGUAGUGGUUCUAAGUGACACUGGGCAUCUUGUUACAAAGCUUGGUGCUUCAUAAAUACACGGAAUCAUCAUGCUGCAUCAUCACUUUCCCCUUCUUGGCUAUAUACUCUGUAUGUUUGUAUUUGGUGAAAAUAAUAUCCCUUCACCAUAAAGAGCACAACAUCUAAGCUGCAACUCAUAUUACUACAUUUAAUUUGCUAAUGCUGUCAUACAGCCCCUGCAAGUCAUAAUUUACUGUGGGUAUCAUCACAGAACAACCUUGCUGGCCUUGUAAUUGUUACUGUGUCCAGAAAAAUGAGUUGCUGACCUUUUGCAAGUGCUAUUUCUGUUGACUGCUGAAAACAUUCAGAACAAAGUUACAUGUAUCUUAGGGGCCCAAGCCAGAGUCUUAUCUGCUUGCUAGUUCUCCAAAUCUUAGCAUGUCUGUAAAGAUAGCAUGGGGUAUUUCAAAGAAGAGCUCAGUUUAUACUCUAAGGGAGAGUGAGCUUCAGGACUUGCCUAGCGGUACUGAGAUAACAUCCCUUCUUUCUCCUUCAACAAUUGGUUAUGUUGAAUCAUGUUAAUGUAGCUUACAGUGUGCUUGUAACAGAAUAACGAGUUUGCAUCUGCCUGUACAUUUCAACGUAGAUAUACUGCUCACCAAUGUACAGUCUGCCUCACUGAGAGGUACUGCUGGUGGGGGUAGCCCAGUGCUAGUCUACACUGUAAGGACCUGAUUAGGAAUACAGUAGUGAGAAGUAAAAAAGGCAUUAUGUAUUCCACUGGUUCUAGGAUAACAGUUGCUGAAUACCCGUGAUUCUGUUCUGAAUCUCAACUCUUCUGGGUAUUACUUGUCCACGCUAGUUCGGAGCAAAGACCUCAAGCUGCUUCAUCAGUACAGGCUAAAGGUAAAGGAACUGCCAGUUCCACAAUCCUGCAGAUCAUAGACGAAAACCCCAUCUUUCUAAAUACAGUGGGUUAAAAAGAGUCCUGUGAAAGAUUUGAUAGAUUUCAAAACCAGAAACAUAUGAAAGUUCCCUGUAUUUUUCAGGAUGAAGGAUGAUGAAGCCCUGUUAGUUGAAUUACACUGGAGAAAUCUUAAAUAUGUCUUUGCUAAGGCUUGUGUCAUGGGGGAGCACUCUCCCAGCUGUCUCCUUUCAGAGCUGUACAGGGACAAGCAGAAGCAGCACAGAGGCAACGGUUUUGAUGCUAGAAGGCUAGAGGAGGGCUGUGAGAAGCUGAAAUUCCCACCCAACAACUUAGUUUCUGGUGCUGUAGACAGAUCAGUCCAGAAAAUGCAUCGCUUACCGUCCUGUCUGUAAAAUGAGGAUAAAGAUCUUGCCAUUCUUAAAGGACUUGGUGAUCUACUCAUGGGAAGAUGUAUACAUGAUCUUAAGUAAUCAGUCUAACCCCCUGAUUCUAUAUAAAAUGAACUGAAGCAAGAUUUUGGGGAGCACAGUGCUGCUUUCCAGAUGUCACUGUUCACUAUCCCAAUGUUCAUUCCUUAGCUGGAUCCAUCUAGCCUAUCUAGUCCAUUGUUUGUAGACUAGUGGCUUUCAGUUCCUCACACUAGCACUUAGGUACUGCUUAAAAAAUGCUUAGUAUCAGCUGUGAUUAAAGGUUUUUGAUGAAGCAAACCAAAAGUGAGAAGAGAAUGGUUUUAUCUGCCUCUUUCUGUGAAUAUCUCAUAAGCAUAGAUUAAUAACAAAAUUAGCCUAGAUAAAUGACACAGUUCUUUGUUACUCAGCUAUUUUCAGUCUUGAGCAAGGCUCAUGACUUGCGCUGAAGGUCACAAGUUUAAACCAACUUGUUGACCUGUGGGUUAAACUGGCAUACUAAGGCACAAGCAAAAUUACUUCCUAUGGUGAAAUGCUCAAAUAAGCUGUUCAAAUAUUUGGCAAAAGCCUGAUAACUGUUGUUCAGAGAGUUGCAUGAGGAAGAGGGAAGUGGUUUCUAGUUGCAUCCGUUUUUCACAGUCAAGUUCUGUGCAGUCCUGGGUAAAUCAGUGGUCAGUGUCAUCCAAGUCUCAGCUUUUUCAUUGUCUGCUUACAGGGAGGACAAAAGUCUGUAUGUGCCUAGCCAGGUAACUCAAGGCACAGUGAUGGGCAUGCAGUGACCAUGGCAUGCUCUCUUACCUUCUAUACAGACACAUUCUUCCUGCAGCCCCCAAAAUAACAAGAAUGGCCACUGAAGUUGUGCUGUCAGUUAACCAACUACCAUCCCAGAAGCAGGAUACCAGUUUUCUUGGUACUGUGACCAAAGCACUGAUGUGGAAGCUCUCUCUGAAUCACAUGUCUUUAUAUUAUCACCAUGUUCUAUCCCGUUAGACGGCAGAUGCCUGGGGAAAUGACUUUGCACUAAAUGUAAAUAUUUUAAGUAACUCCAGUUGGUCUAGGACAAUUAAUGCUGGAUAGUAAUUACACUGAGAUUGUGUCUUACUAUUGUCUUCCCUGUUAUUGUUUGAGCAGUUGCUUUUUGGAAAUAUGUUUAAUGUGUGCCAUGAGGUUCUAGACCUUUUCAGUUCCAAAGAUUACAAGCUCAAAUAAUGCUCUCAUAACCUUGUUAUUAUAGGAGGUUGCUGUAGCUGAAAAGCAGUCUCUUUGCAAUGUCCUCACUAAUUCCAUGAGUAGAAAUUUAUAAGCAGCUGAGGUAGGUUCCUCUUUAGUUCAAAAGUCCCUGAUCAGCAAGGAAGAGAGAACAGAACCAGCAAAAUGAAGCACAUUUAGUUAUCUACGAAAGAUCAGGUAUGAAGCCAGAGUUGGAGGAGGCGAUGGCUCACUGGAAAGAAAAUGUGACUCCACUGAGGUCAAAGGAGUUGCAACAAAAUGCAUCUAUAGCCCCAAUUUUUUUUUAGUUUCCAUGUUAACAUUCCUUCUUAUUCACUUACGGCAUGUCCCUCCCAGUAUUCUACUCAUCCACUAAAUUUUCCCUGCCCUUUCUCUUUGGAGUGUUGGGGCUUUGGUUUAAUUUAUAGAGAGACAUAUCUUUUUCUAAAAGAAACCAAUACUUUGUAUAAACAAUUUUCAAAAUCAAGACCAAAGCCUGCAUUCAGAUUUUAGCAACAUAGCUAUAAAUCUCAAAUAACUGCAGGAACUAGUAAAAUAACUAUAGAUUUAUUUUCUGGUAUUAAAGCUGAAACUGGAAUGUUCACUGUUAUACUUUAAAUUACUGGCACAGCACAUACAUAUUUACCUCUAUUAAAAGCCUCAGAUCCUUCCUCCCAUUAUGUUUAAUGUGAAUAUGCAAGCCUGGGUUCUGUCUUCAGUAAAGUCUUUUCCAAUCCUUCAGGAGUUGUAUGGUUAACAUUAAGUGACAGCUCUUAGUGAAUGUUUGACUCUAUUGCCAAUUGCUCUUACAGUCAGGGGUUCAAUGAAAGUUAAAUAUGUCACCAAAAGUGACAGUAGCCAAAAGUUAAAUAGGUUGUUAGCAUGUUUUAACACUUAGGAUUUCCCUCCAAAACAAUGCAAAACAACAGAACAGGUUGUAGAAAGCUGGGAGGGAUAUGGAGCAAGAAAAGCAAAGAAUUCUGAGGGAGGUGGGGUAACUCCAGUUAGAAGAAGAGACAAACAUACAUAGUGAUUUAGCCAUGACCAAAUGGUGGGAAUUUUAUGUUGUGCACAGGCAUGUGUUGGAUGCUUUGCUAAGGAUGCUUGAGGAGCUCAUCAGCCAGCAUUAUCACUUAGGAAAACCGCUAUCAGUCCUUUGCUCGAGAAAUGGCUUAAGAGCCCUGGAUAAUUUCACAGUCAAAAUUAGAGUAGUUUAUGAAGUGCUUGGGGAAUGCAAAGCAAGAUAGUGAAGUACCUAGCAGCAGAUUACACCCAAAGCAUGGGGAAGAACAACAUGCUCCUCGUCUCUUAACAUUCCUGAAACCUUCAGAGGUUUGGCAAAGGUGUUUCUUAGAACAAAAACAGACAGACAACAAUUAGAUGAUUUAGGGAACAAAAACGCUAGCCAUUUGAGUAGAAGUUUUGCAUGUCUUUUGGCAACUUCAUGGUGGGAGCAUGGAAGCAUGCAGCUGAGUCCCAUCCUUAAAGGAUGUCAAGGUGCUGACUGCAGACCUGUUGCUUCCUGUAGUGUUGGGUGGCCCUGCUCCUUUAACAUGCAAAAUCCAAAGGACAGUGAUCAUGGUAGUAAUUUUUCAUCCUUCCUCCUGGGGAUUUGCUUGUGAGGUCCUCAGCCUGGGUAACUCUCAUAGCAUAACAGAGACCCAUAAGUCUUUUGGCUACUUCUCCUUUUUUGCUCACUUGUACCCCAGUCUUGGAUUUUCUGGUGAUGUCACCUCUGUGCCCCAGACUGGGUAGGCUGAGUGCUGUGGAAAAAAAUAGCUAAUAAUAAGCCACAUUUUAAGAUGAAGUACAUGAUGAAGCAGGUGCUAAGUGGGAGAUGUGAUUAAGGAACUGGUUUUCGUGAAAUGGCAGUAGAUUUUUUCCACCUCUUCUGUAACAGAGCACUCUGGGACAGGUGCUUACAAAAAAAUGUCCUAUUGCUGAGGCCUUCCCCUUGCCUGGCAGUCCUGUAUAAGCUGGUGCUGGGCCAGAGUAUCAUGUUGCCUUCUGCCAUGAAAAGCUAGAACUUUGAUCUGGAAAGAAUUGGAACUGCCCAUGGAAUGCUGUCAGACACACGAUCGGAUAGCAAUUUGCUGAGAAGAGGAUGACUGUGCCUCAAUGUUAUCCGAGAUCACUAUUGAGAAAACAAAGUUUGCAACCAUGGCAGCAACUGCUGUCUCUUAAACGUUACCCUUGACAGGGCUUGGCACCCUAGUGUGUUGUAGAGACUGUUAGCUCUGCUAGUCCUUUUUGUAUUAAGUGAACAUGGCAGAAAGUGCCAAAAGACCUUGGAGAAGCUGGGAAUGGCUGCUCAUUUUGAUGUCUGUGAAUUAUGUUUCCACACAUAUUUGCAGACAUAUGCCUAGCGUACACACACUUUUAUUUCUCUACCGUCAUUAUUGCGGUGUUGUGAUAACCCGUGGUGCCAUGAACAGAAAAGUUGCCUGUCAGUUAUGUUAAACACCUGAAGACUCUUGGCUCUUAGCCCGCACAAGGUGAUUGUUAUCUUCAACUGUUUUCAAAUAAGCUUCUCAGAGCAAAACUGAUGAUUCAGACAAGCUGCUGAGAUCAUAAAUCAUUUUUAAUGUUAACAAUGUUUACAGCCCUUUAUUUAGUUGCUGAAAUCUUGUAAUCUUCACAGCCAUCCAGCUGUGAAACCUCAUCGGAAAAGCAAUUGUUCAUGCAUAUUCAACUCACGUGAUCCUAGGAUCUAUUUCUGUUAUUUAGGUUACUCAAAGUCUUUCUACAACAAAGGCACCUCUCUAAAUCCUUGGUACAUAAAUACUAGUGGAUUACUUUGCUCUUAGGCUAGCCUGAGUUAGUAGGAUGUCUUUUUUCAAGGUCUGAAAUGUGAACAACUUUAAAUUGUUUCUAGAAAACAUUUAUGUUUUCUAGAAUGGAAAAAAUGGUGUGUUCCUUUCUGUGUCUUUUGGGGAGAGAAAGGACGGUAACACUUCAUUAAGAACAGAAAGGUCAUCUGAAAUUACCAGAUUAGGGGCAAUAAGAAACCAGAUGAGGUUUAACAAAAGCAAGUGCAGAGUCUUGCACCUGGGAAGGAAUAACUGCAAGUAUCCAUACAGGUUGGGGCAUGACCCACUGGAGAGGAGCUCUGCAGAGAAGGACCUGGGGGUCCUGAUGGACGACAGGAUGGCCAUGAGCCAGCAGUGUGCCCUGGUGGCUAAGAAGGCCAGUGGGAUCCUGGGGUGCAUUAAAAGAAG